This 460-nucleotide ribosomal RNA is filed under the name uncultured bacterium. RNAcentral's name for it is "bacterial SSU rRNA". It matches the Rfam family "Bacterial small subunit ribosomal RNA", at positions 343 to 794 of the family's 1533-position model. The record is from RNAcentral.
UGGAGGCAGCAGUAAGGAAUUUUUCGCAAUGGGGGAAACCCUGACGAAGCAACGCCGCGUGGAGGAUGAAGGCCUUCGGGUCGUAAACUCCUGUCGACCGGGAAGAAAGCACAGCGACCCAAUACGUCGAGGUGUUGACUGUACCGGUGGAGGAAGCCACGGCUAACUCUGUGCCAGCAGCCGCGGUAAUACAGAGGUGGCAAGCGUUGUUCGGAAUUACUGGGCGUAAAGGGCGCGUAGGCGGUUUGCCAAGUCCCGUGUGAAAGCCCCCGGCUCAACCGGGGAACGGCGCGGGAAACUAGCGGGCUUGAGUUCGGGAGAGGGAAGCGGAAUUCCGGGUGUAGCGGUGAAAUGCGCAGAUAUCCGGAGGAACACCGGUGGCGAAGGCGGCUUCCUGGACCGACACUGACGCUGAGGCGCGAAAGCUAGGGGAGCAAACGGGAUUAGAUACCCCGGUAGA